Molecule: non-coding RNA, 1361 nt
Organism: Lepisosteus oculatus (spotted gar)
Lineage: Eukaryota; Metazoa; Chordata; Actinopteri; Semionotiformes; Lepisosteidae
Source: RefSeq, a predicted model, not a curated record
GUCUGCAGAAGCUACAGCAGAGCUGAUAGAGCUGGGUUUUUCAUCAGUACAUGUGGGGACACUGGUCUUGGCCUUUUCUGCACCAGUACUUUGGAUUAUAAUUCUUCUUUUACAUAAUUGUUUAGAUCUAGAUGAUGAUUCUAAUGUGUUAUAUUGGCCAUUCAUCAUUGUCCCUAGUGCCUCAUUGUCUAUUUCAUUUAUCCUCUGGGGUGUAAUUGAAGGGUCUUUGGAAGAAGUGAUCAUGUGUGUGACUGUUAAUCUACUGAGGAAUUUAACUUUUCUAGCUAUUGUAGGGUCUUUGAAAGAAGUGAUCAAUUGCAAGAGUUAUUGGUAUUGGAAGUGGAUGAGGAUUGUACCAUUUAAAAGAAAAUCUGUGGAGAAAUCAGUUUCCAUCAGUUUCUCAAUAAUUCAUUUUGUUGUGAUAACAGUGAUGUGGUCUGUUGCUCUGUGGGAGUAUUUCAAGAGCCACACACCAGACACAGCUGUCACAGCAGGUAUUGGACUGGCCUGUACCUCAUCACUGCUCUCCUCUCUCUGCGGGGUUUUUAUUAAAGUGUAUUUCAUAUGGAGGAAAACUUCUCAAAGCAAUUCAGAGCAGAGGGAAUCUUCUCAAAGCAUCAGCAGUACAGGUAUGGUCUUCUUACCUCAGUGUGUGACACAGGAGACACUGCAGGGCCAAGCAGAACCUGAGACACACAAAAUAGAAACACCAGACAGUGAGAGAAAGUCUCUUACAUCCUGAAUCAUGUGCAGCAAAAUGUUCCUGCAGAGUGAUGUGGACAGGAACAGUACUGAGAAACAGUUAACAACACGUCUUUAUACUGAAUCAAUACAUCUGUAAAACCCUUCCAAAGGAAGAUGGUCCUGCUUUCAUGAGUUGAAAGAUGAUGCUGAAGCCUGAUUUGUAUCACUGACAGCACAAAGCAGAAUCCAGCCCCAUCCUGAACACCACCACUGAGACUGAGACCAGCUACAGGUGCACUGUCACACUGUGAGGCUGCCCGUCUCCCAGUAACACAACCUGCAGUAUAACAGGCUGUCUGAGACAGAGGGUUCGUAUCUGCCUGUGACACCCUCCAGCCCUGCUGUCUCAGAUCAGUGAGGACCAGCUCUCGAGUCCUGGAGACUGACAUCAUGUGACCAACUUCUCUGUUUCCACUGGGUCAACUUCCCACCAGACUGUAGAGAUCUGAGGUCCUGCAGGAGACACAGAAGACACUGGAGUUUUAUUAUUGAUGGUGCUGCAGGUUGUACUGCCCUUGAUAUCCCUCACUGGUCUGUGCUGCAGACAUGGGAGAGAAAUCCCACAUUAACUGGGAUGAGGAAGAGAUGCCAGCAGAUAGACACUGAGGUGACCAUGU